This 489-nucleotide ribosomal RNA is filed under the name uncultured bacterium. Its description in RNAcentral is "bacterial SSU rRNA". It matches the Rfam family "Bacterial small subunit ribosomal RNA", at positions 903 to 1397 of the family's 1533-position model. The record is from RNAcentral.
AAAUGAAUAGACGGGGGCCCGCACAAGCGGUGGAGUAUGUUGUUUAAUUCGAAGCAACGCGAAGAACCUUACCAGGUCUUGACAUGGUCCUAAAGGCCCUAGAGAUAGGGAGAUAGUUAUAGGACACACAGGUGGUGCAUGGUUGUCGUCAGCUCGUGUCGUGAGAUGUUGGGUUAAGUCCCGCAACGAGCGCAACCCUUGUCGUUAGUUACCAUCAUUAAGUUGGGGACUCUAGCGAGACUGCCGGUGACAAACCGGAGGAAGGUGGGGAUGACGUCAAAUCAUCAUGCCCCUUAUGACCUGGGCUACAAACGUACUACAAUGGCGAGAACAACGGGAAGCAAUGUGGUGACACAAAGCGAAUCUCUUAAAACUCGUCUCAGUUCGGAUCGAAGUCUGCAACUCGACUUCGUGAAGUUGGAAUCGCUAGUAAUCGCGGAUCAGCAUGCCGCGGUGAAUACGUUCUCGGGCCUUGUACACACCGCCCGU